RNAcentral lists this ribosomal RNA (521 nucleotides) under uncultured bacterium. RNAcentral's name for it is "bacterial SSU rRNA". It matches the Rfam family "Bacterial small subunit ribosomal RNA", at positions 28 to 518 of the family's 1533-position model. The record is from RNAcentral.
GACGAACGCUGGCGGCGUGCCUAAUACAUGCAAGUCGAACGAGAAAUUCUUACACCGGAUGCUUGCAUCCACCGUAAGAUUUCGAGUGGCGGACGGGUGAGUAACACGUGGGUAACCUGCCCAAAAGAAGGGGAUAACAUUUGGAAACAAGUGCUAAUACCGUAUAACCAUGAUGACCGCAUGGUCAUGAUGUAAAAGGUGGUUUUGCUAUCGCUUUUGGAUGGACCCGCGGCGUAUUAACUAGUUGGUAAGGUAACGGCUUACCAAGGUGAUGAUACGUAGCCGAACUGAGAGGUUGAUCGGCCACAAUGGGACUGAGACACGGCCCAUACUCCUACGGGAGGCAGCAGUAGGGAAUCUUCCACAAUGGGCGCAAGCCUGAUGGAGCAACGCCGCGUGAGUGAAGAAGGUUUUCGGAUCGUAAAACUCUGUUGUUAGAGAAGAACAGGAGAAGUAGUAACUGGCUUCUUUUUGACGGUAUCUAACCAGAAAGCCACGGCUAACUACGUGCCAGCCGCCGC